This is a small nucleolar RNA of Lepidothrix coronata (blue-crowned manakin), 90 nucleotides long. NCBI's taxonomy places the organism in Eukaryota, Metazoa, Chordata, Aves, Passeriformes, Pipridae. The record is from Ensembl.
CAGACUGUUGUCAAUGAUGAAACAUAUAGUUAAACUGAAAUUAAUGAUUUGAUUCAGUUCCUUCGUCACUACCACUGAGACAACAGAUGG